UGCAAGUCGAACGAGACCUUCGGGUCUAGUGGCGCACGGGUGAGUAACGCGUGGAAACCUACCAUUCUGUACGGAAUAACGAUUGGAAACGAUCGCUAAUACCGUAUACGCCCUGUGGGGGAAAGGUCCGCCGCAGAAUGAGGGGUCCGCGUCCGAUUAGCUUGUUGGUGGGGUAAAAGCCUACCAAGGCGAUGAUCGGUAGCUGGUCUGAGAGGAUGAUCAGCCACACUGGGACUGAGACACGGCCCAGACUCCUACGGGAGGCAGCAGUGGGGAAUAUUGGACAAUGGGGGCAACCCUGAUCCAGCAAUGCCGCGUGUGUGAAGAAGGCCUUAGGGUUGUAAAGCACUUUCAAUGGUGAAGAUGAUGACGGUAGCCGUAGAAGAAGCCCCGGCUAAACUUCGUGCCAGCAGCCCGCGGUAAUACCGAAGGGGGCGAGCGUUGUUCGGAAUUUACUGGGCGUAAAGGGCGCGCAGGCGGCCAAUCCAGUCAGGUGUGAAAGCCCCGGGCUUAACCUGGGAACUGCACUUGAUACUGAUUGGCUAGAAACGGAAGAAGGCAGUGAAAUUCCC
Molecule: ribosomal RNA, 572 nt
Filed under: uncultured bacterium
Lineage: Bacteria
Description: bacterial SSU rRNA
Rfam family: Bacterial small subunit ribosomal RNA
Source: RNAcentral